CAUAAGUUUAAAGAGACAACCUGGAGAACUGAAACAUCUAAGUAACCAGAGGAAAAGAAAUCAAUUGAGAUUCCGUUAGUAGUGGCGAGCGAACGCGGACUAGGCCAGUAAUUUUGUUAAAAAAAUUUGAAUAGUUUGGAAAUGCUAACCAUAGAGGGUGAUAGUCCCGUAUAAGUAAUGUUUAACAAAAUUCUUGAGUAAAGCGGGACACGUGAAAUCCUGCUCGAACAUAGGGGGACCACCCUCUAAGCCUAAAUACUCUUCAGUGACCGAUAGUGAACUAGUACCGUGAGGGAAAGGUGAAAAGAACCCCUAUUAGGGGAGUGAAAUAGAACCUGAAACUGCAUGCCUACAAUCAGUCGAAGCUCUUUUUAGAGUGACGGCGUACCUUUUGUAUAAUGGGUCAGUGACUUAAUUUAUAAAGCAAGCUUAAGCCAUCUAGGUGUAGGCGAAGCGAAAGCAAGUCUUAAUAGGGCGAUUAGUUUUAUGAAUUAGACCCGAAAACGAAUGAGCUUACCAUGAGCAGGUUGAAAGUUGGGUAACACCAACCGGAGGACCGAACCAGUUGACGUUGAAAAGUCUUUGGAUGACUUGUGGUAAGGGGUGAAAGGCCAACCAAAUUCGUAGAUAGCUGGUUUUCCGCGAAAACUAUUUAGGUAGUGCGAUGAAUAAAUAGAUGCUUAGAGGUAGAGCACUAAAUGGGCUAGGGGGAAGAGAUUCUUACCAAACCUAAUAAAACUCCGAAUGCUAAGUAUUGUUCUUCAUCAGACAGACUGUGGGUGCUAAGGUCCAUGGUCGAGAGGGAAAGAGCCCAGACCACCAGAUAAGGUCCCCAAAUUAUGAUUAAGUGUGAAAGGAUGUGGAAAUUCCUUAACAGCCGGGAGGUUGGCUUAGAAGCAGCCAUCCUUUAAAGAUAGCGUAACAGCUCACCGGUCUAAUAGAGUUUCUGCGCCGAAGAUGUAACGGGGCUAAAAUCAUAUACCGAAUCUGUGGGUUUAUAAAAUUUUCGAAUUUUAUAAGCGGUAGCGGAACGUUCUGUAAGCCUGCGAAGGGAUACCCGUGAGGGAUCCUGGAGGUAUCAGAAGUGCGAAUGCUGACAUAAGUAACGAUAAAAGAAGUGAAAAACUUCUUCGCCGAAAAUCCAAGGGUUUCUGCGCAAGGUUAAUCCGCGCAGAGUUAGUCGGCACCUAAGGCGAGGGCGAAAGCCGUAGUCGAUGGAAAUAAGGUUAAUAUUCCUUAACCAGAUGGUAGUGACGGAUCUUGUAAGUUGUGAGUUCUUAAUG
Molecule: ribosomal RNA, 1283 nt
Filed under: Pelagibacterales bacterium SAG-MED35
Lineage: Bacteria; Pseudomonadati; Pseudomonadota; Alphaproteobacteria; Candidatus Pelagibacterales
Description: Bacterial large subunit ribosomal RNA
Rfam family: Bacterial large subunit ribosomal RNA
Source: Rfam by way of RNAcentral